AAAAAAAAUUUACAUGUAAAUCAGACUUCAUAUGAGUUGUGGCGAGGCUUCGAUGUUUUGUCCUUUCCAGCUUCGUUGUGAAGUUAGUGGCCGUGGUCUGUGCCCACAACCUUCGGCUGCUGGUAUGCGUCUGCUGGCAGAGAUCUCCAGAAGCUAUUAGAUUUCUAGUGGGCGGGGUUGACGGACUGUUUGUUUAAACCUGGGCCUCAUCAAAGCCCACCUCUUCUGACCUAUAUUUCGGUUAAAA
RNAcentral lists this unclassified non-coding RNA (247 nucleotides) under Hevea brasiliensis (rubber tree). Lineage: Eukaryota; Viridiplantae; Streptophyta; Magnoliopsida; Malpighiales; Euphorbiaceae. The record is from RNAcentral.